UCCAUAUAAUUUAUGAUCAAAAUGCAUCAUCAAUCACAAAAACAAGUUGUUAUCUUGAAGAUCAACCCAACUUUUCUAAUUUAUCAUGCAUUCUAUCCAAUUAUAUCAAACCUGCAGUAGCCUCCUGCUUACACCCUAGCCAACAUGAAUAGAAAAAGAGUCAACACAUCACACGGCUGUGGAAAUCAUCAUACAGUUAAUCAAUGUCCAAU
RNAcentral lists this long non-coding RNA (212 nucleotides) under Carica papaya (papaya). RNAcentral's name for it is "long non-coding RNA (CPAP_LNC016569)". Lineage: Eukaryota; Viridiplantae; Streptophyta; Magnoliopsida; Brassicales; Caricaceae. The record is from RNAcentral.